GAUGAACGCUGGCGGCGUGCCUAAUACAUGCAAGUCGAGCGAACAGACGAGGAGCUUGCUCCUCUGACGUUAGCGGCGGACGGGUGAGUAACACGUGGAUAACCUACCUAUAAGACUGGGAUAACUUCGGGAAACCGGAGCUAAUACCGGAUAAUAUAUUGAACCGCAUGGUUCAAUAGUGAAAGACGGCUUUGCUGUCACUUAUAGAUGGAUCCGCGCCGCAUUAGCUAGUUGGUAAGGUAACGGCUUACCAAGGCAACGAUGCGUAGCUGACCUGAGAGGGUGAUCGGCCACACUGGAACUGAGACACGGUCCAGACUCCUACGGGAGGCAGCAGUAGGGAAUCUUCCGCAAUGGGCGAAAGCCUGACGGAGCAACGCCGCGUGAGUGAUGAAGGUCUUCGGAUCGUAAAACUCUGUUAUUAGGGAAGAACAAAUGUGUAAGUAACUAUGCACGUCUUGACGGUACCUAAUCAGAAAGCCACGGCUAACUACGUG
This 497-nucleotide ribosomal RNA is filed under the name uncultured bacterium. RNAcentral's name for it is "partial 16S ribosomal RNA". It matches the Rfam family "Bacterial small subunit ribosomal RNA", at positions 28 to 507 of the family's 1533-position model. The record is from RNAcentral.